Molecule: long non-coding RNA, 228 nt
Filed under: Sorghum bicolor (sorghum)
Lineage: Eukaryota; Viridiplantae; Streptophyta; Magnoliopsida; Poales; Poaceae
Description: long non-coding RNA (SBIC_LNC018782)
Source: RNAcentral
CUAAGUCUUAAUCUCUAGAAAAAUAAAAAGACCAAAAAUAUGCAUGAUGGAAAUGAUGAACAGUUACUCUGUUUGCUUACUUACAAGUACCUAGCUUUUAUAUUAGAAUUCUUCCAGGAAUUACUAAAACUAAAAUUACUAUCUUUGGGAAGCACAAAACUAAAGUCUAGGUAAGAGAAAGGCAUGAUAUAAAGUUGAGCUACUGUUUAUCUUGUUCCUACUACACUA